GGGGAAUCUUGCGCAAUGGCCGAAAGGCUGACGCAGCGACGCCGCGUGGGGGAUGAAGGCCUUCGGGUCGUAAACCCCUGUUGCUCGGGACGAACAACUCCCUUUGGGGAGUCUGACGGUACCGGGGGAGGAAGCACCGUCUAACUCUGUGCCAGCAGCCGCGGUAAUACAGAGGGUGCGAGCGUUGUCCGGAAUCACUGGGCGUAAAGGGCGCGUAGGCGGCUUUUUAAGCGUGUCGUGAAAGCGCGGGGCUCAACCCCGCGUCGGCGAUGCGAACUGGGAAGCUGGAGCACGUCAGAGGCAGGCGGAAUUCCGGGUGUAGCGGUGGAAUGCGUAGAGAUCCGGAAGAACACCGGUGGCGAAGGCGGCCUGCUGGGACGUGGCUGACGCUGAGGCGCGACAGCGUGGGGAGCAAAC
RNAcentral lists this ribosomal RNA (417 nucleotides) under uncultured bacterium. Its description in RNAcentral is "bacterial SSU rRNA". It matches the Rfam family "Bacterial small subunit ribosomal RNA", at positions 356 to 773 of the family's 1533-position model. The record is from RNAcentral.